RNAcentral lists this long non-coding RNA (1041 nucleotides) under Mytilus galloprovincialis (Mediterranean mussel). Lineage: Eukaryota; Metazoa; Mollusca; Bivalvia; Mytilida; Mytilidae. The record is from RNAcentral.
GAGACAAUUCGAUCAAUUCCUCAUAAUAGUUGCUAUAAAUUGUUUGUUUAUGUAAAAGAAAAUGUAUAAUCGGAAAUGAAGAUCAUAUUAAUAAUAAUUACCAUCAUUGGACAUGCUUUAUGUUCGUUUAAUUGUACAGGUAAGCUCUUUGAAAUGUUUCUGUCUAUUUACAAAUUGUCACGAUGAUUUCAAAAACGUCAUAUUUUGUUUUUCACUCAUUAAACACAAUUUUAUUUACAUGCGAUUCUUUGGAUGUUUACAUUGUACUUAUAAGUUCUUUUGUUCCUGCGAUUUAAAAAUAUCCAUAAAUGAAAUGUAAUCCAUGCCAUCAAAAUAUCCGUAAAUUAAAUGUGACCCCUAUAAAAAUUCACUUUUAAUGACCACUGAAUAGUAGAAUUAUUUUUGCACAUGUAGUAUUAUUACAUUCAUUAAAAUUCUAAUCAGUCUGAUUUAAAUCAGCUAAUAAUCAGAGCUUUACAUACAACUGAAUACACUUUGUCAGAUCUUAAUGAGAUUGUCCCGCAAAUUUAAAGGUUAAUUGAAAGUACAACGUUAAGACUUAUUUAUUUUAUAAUCAAAACGUCAAGACAUAAAUUUAACGAAAUUGUCGUUUUAAACUGUUUAAGCAUUUAUAAUAAGCUUGUUAUAUGUUUUCCUUUCUACGAUAUUAUCGAUAAUGUUGUUAUAAAAUACGAUGGUACAAAGUUGACAUACAAAAAUAUUUUAAUAUAAUAGUCCAUAAUUCUACAGUUUUAUUUUGAUAAUUAUUCUUAUAAACCAAGGCUAAAGCAUGAAGAAUAUUUCUAAAGAUUUUUUUUAAUUUUCAGAAUUUGCACAUCGUUUUCGCUCAGACAGCUUACCGGUACUGAUGCAAGAUUUUAUUGGAACCCACAGUAGAGGAUUGUUAGCCAUUAAAUGUGCAGUAAGUUUAAUAUAAUUAUAAAUAAGCAAGGAACUUUUAACAUGUUAAAAUCGAUGCCUUAUAUUUGGAAGUAUUGUCAAUACAUUUUUUGCGUUAAAAUCAUUACGUGUGCGAGCAGC